RNAcentral lists this transfer RNA (71 nucleotides) under Loxodonta africana (African savanna elephant). It matches the Rfam family "tRNA". From Rfam's summary of the family: Transfer RNA (tRNA) molecules are approximately 80 nucleotides in length. Their secondary structure includes four short double-helical elements and three loops (D, anti-codon, and T loops). Lineage: Eukaryota; Metazoa; Chordata; Mammalia; Proboscidea; Elephantidae. The record is from Rfam by way of RNAcentral.
ACAUUGGUGGUUCAAUGGUAGAAUUCUUGCCUUCCAUGUGGGAGACCCUGGUUUGAUUCCUGGUCAGUACA